AGAGUUUGGUCCUGGCUCAGGAUGAACGCUAGCGGCAGGCUUAACACAUGCAAGUCGAGGGGCAACAUUGUAGCUUGCUCCAGAUGACGACCGGCGCACGGGUGCGUAACGCGUAUGCAACUUGCCCUUAACAGGAGGAUAGCUCAGGGAAACCUGGAUUAAUACUCCAUAGUCACUCUGCAGGCAUCUAGAAUAAGUAAAACUUCGGUGGUUAAGGAUAGGCAUGCGUGACAUUAGCUAGUUGGUGAGGUAACGGCCCACCAAGGCUACGAUGUCUAGGGGUUCUGAGAGGAUGAUCCCCCACACUGGUACUGAGACACGGACCAGACUCCUACGGGAGGCAGCAGUGAGGAAUAUUGCACAAUGGAGGCAACUCUGAUCCAGCCAUGCCGCGUGCAGGAAGACUGCCCUACGGGUUGUAAACUGCUUUUAUACGGGAAGAAACCCUCCCACGUGUGGGGGGCUGACGGUACCGUAAGAAUAAGCAUCGGCUAACUCCGUGCCAGCAGCCGCGGUAAUACGGAGGAUGCAAGCGUUAUCCGGAAUCAUUGGGUUUAAAGGGUCCGUAGGCGGACGAUUAAGUCAGGGGUGAAAGUUUGCAGCUCAACUGUAAAAUUGCCCUUGAUACUGGUUGUCUUGAAUUACUGUGAAGUGGUUAGAAUAUGUAGGGUAGCGGUGAAAUGCAGAGAUAUUACAUAGAAUACCAAUUGCGAAGGCAGAUCACUAACAGUAUAUUGACGCUGAGGGACGAAAGCGUGGGGAGCGAACAGGAUUAGAUACCCUGGUGGUCCACGCCGUAAACGAUGGAUACUAGCUGUUGGACUUCUUCAGUGGCUAAGCGAAAGUGAUAAGUAUCCCACCUGGGGAGUACGUUCGCAAGAAUGAAACUCAAAGGAAUUGACGGGGGCCCGCACAAGCGGUGGAGCAUGUGGUUUAAUUCGAUGAUACGCGAGGAACCUUACCAGGGCUUAAAUGCAUAUUGACAGGGUCAGAGAUGACUUUUCCUUCGGGCAAUUUGCAAGGUGCUGCAUGGUUGUCGUCAGCUCGUGCCGUGAGGUGUCAGGUUAAGUCCUAUAACGAGCGCAACCCCUACCGUUAGUUGCCAGCGAGUCAAGUCGGGGACUCUAACGGGACUGCCGGUGCAAACCGUGAGGAAGGUGGGGAUGACGUCAAAUCAUCACGGCCCUUACGUCCUGGGCCACACACGUGCUACAAUGGCCGGUACAGAGAGCAGCCACUUGGCAACAAGGAGCGAAUCUACAAAACCGGUCACAGUUCGGAUCGGGGUCUGCAACUCGACCCCGUGAAGCUGGAAUCGCUAGUAAUCGGAUAUCAGCCAUGAUCCGGUGAAUACGUUCCCGGGCCUUGUACACACCGCCCGU
RNAcentral lists this ribosomal RNA (1382 nucleotides) under uncultured prokaryote. RNAcentral's name for it is "partial 16S ribosomal RNA". It matches the Rfam family "Bacterial small subunit ribosomal RNA". The record is from RNAcentral.